CACCUUUCCAGCCUCACCAAGGGUAAUAUCAGUGCGAGUGUCUUCCACCUCGGAGGAGCAUGCACAGGACAGCUGGGAAGAAGACUGAUGGCCAGGCCAGCUCUCCUCACUCUGCACUAAAGCCAGAGUGAAUCCUUUUUGCCUCUCAGGAAUCACAGUUGUUUACCCCAAGUGCAAUUGCAAUGCUGAGGAUCUCUACCUCCAAGAAUCCUCAUCAGCGAUGAAAGGGGAAUCUGAAAGAAAACAAAUUCUUAAAACUAUCAAUGAACCCACACUGUUUGGAACUCGGAGUGAAGAUGCUGAAAAGCCCCUCAAAGUUAUGAGUGGAUGAAAUCUGACUAAAACUAGAAUCCCUCCCGAAGGGAGCGCAAUGUCCAACAGCAGCUCCCUCCAUGAGUUCCUCCUCCUGGCAUUU
Molecule: long non-coding RNA, 415 nt
Organism: Dromaius novaehollandiae (emu)
Lineage: Eukaryota; Metazoa; Chordata; Aves; Casuariiformes; Dromaiidae
Exons: 3
Source: RefSeq, a predicted model, not a curated record